UACAGGGGGUGCAAACGUUGUUCGGAAUUACUGGGCGUAAAGCGCGUGUAGGCUGCGGAGUAAGUCGGAUGUGAAAUCCCUUGGCUUAACCAAGGAAGUGCAUCCGAUACUGCCGUGCUUGAGGACUGGAGAGGAGACUGGAAUUUACGGUGUAGCGGUGAAAUGCGUAGAUAUCGUAAGGAAGACCAGUGGCGAAGGCGGGUCUCUGGACAGUUCCUGACGCUGAGGCACGAAGGUCAGGGGAGCAAACGGG
RNAcentral lists this ribosomal RNA (253 nucleotides) under uncultured bacterium. RNAcentral describes it as "partial 16S ribosomal RNA". It matches the Rfam family "Bacterial small subunit ribosomal RNA", at positions 524 to 776 of the family's 1533-position model. The record is from RNAcentral.